Xiphophorus couchianus (Monterrey platyfish) is the source of this 346-nucleotide long non-coding RNA. RefSeq lists it as uncharacterized. The transcript has 4 exons. Lineage: Eukaryota; Metazoa; Chordata; Actinopteri; Cyprinodontiformes; Poeciliidae. The record is from RefSeq and is a predicted model, not a curated record.
UAAUAUUAAAAUUAUUGAAAAUAUUGUAUAUGACUUUAAAAUUUUAUAGAUGCUAUUUUGGCUCAUGUAAAAGCAUGAAUUAGCAAUGACAAUUAGUUAGUUGGUUACAAUUCAAGGCAUUUAUUAACAUUUCUUUGAUAGGAAUGUUUGGUUCGGUAAUUUGUUGAUAGUCCCUAAGUGAACCUUCGGGCGCUGCGGCCGGGAGCGAUAGAGAACCGCUGGCCGACAGUAACGUUCAUAAAUCGGAUCAACCUUGAGCUAAACGCCGCUUACUCCGCGGAGCUCGAAUAUCGAAUAUCCAACUUGAAACUAACUUCACUGCGGUAAACGCCAAGAGAUCGGACCG